RNAcentral lists this long non-coding RNA (687 nucleotides) under Marmota monax (woodchuck). Lineage: Eukaryota; Metazoa; Chordata; Mammalia; Rodentia; Sciuridae. The record is from RNAcentral.
GGGGAUUUUGACAAGUGCACGCUGGGGACAGACACCAUGGUGCUGGGGAAUGAGCCCACCCUGUCCCUGAGUUGCGAUGGGGAGCCCAGAGAUGCUGGACAAUGACCUGUGGCCUGCCCCGGGCUCCUCUGGCUCUGGGGGUCCCAACUGCCUGCAGAAGACAGCCAGGAAGUGUGGGUGGCUGGCCAGUCGGAGCAGAGAGGGUCCCCAGUUUCCCCCGCCUGGGGGACAGGCAGUUGGCCCAGUUCAUGGGCUGUUUGGAGGUGGGCUGUUCCGAGGGCUCAGCAGGUGGCUCUGUAAAGCCCCCGUGGGGUCAGUCCCCAUCAGCAUCAGCCUUUGCCACCCCUGGAGGGAUGAUGGGAGCUGAGGCCUGUGUCCACUUCACUGGCUGAAGCCUGUCCUCUCCACCUGUAGAAGGGCCCAGGCACCUUGAGGUUACAGAGGGGACCGACCAACAGGAUGUGGCUCAGUUGCCCCACAGUAGAUGUACUGUGUGCUGCCUGGGCUGUGGCUGUGCCGGGGACCACAAGCACAUGGCCACCCACCGGCACCGCUCAAGGGCUCUCCACGGGUGGGCUCUUUUAAGCCCCUAUUUUGCAGAUGAGGACACUGAGGCUAAGGGGGACUUGUUACCAGAGGUCACACAGCCAGAAAUGUGGACACCCAACAGUGGGCAGGAAGGGGCUG